UGCCCCUGGCAUUGGGCAAAGAGACACCAUGUUGAUGAUGGUGUUCUUAUAUCAGUCGGGGACAGAGCAGGUGGCAGUCUUUUGACUAGUCUAGCUUGAUGCCUGGCUUGGUGGCCAAGCUGUUUUAUGACUAGGACUCAAAU
This is a small nucleolar RNA of Acomys russatus (golden spiny mouse), 143 nucleotides long. RefSeq annotates it as small nucleolar RNA SNORA48. Lineage: Eukaryota; Metazoa; Chordata; Mammalia; Rodentia; Muridae. The transcript has a single exon. The record is from RefSeq and is a predicted model, not a curated record.